Molecule: ribosomal RNA, 741 nt
Filed under: uncultured bacterium
Lineage: Bacteria
Description: bacterial SSU rRNA
Rfam family: Bacterial small subunit ribosomal RNA
Source: RNAcentral
GGGAUAACCUUGCGAAAGUAAGACUAAUACCCAAUGAUAUCUCUAGAAGACAUCUGAAAGAGAUUAAAGAUUUAUCGGUGAUGGAUGGGGAUGCGUCUGAUUAGCUUGUUGGCGGGGUAACGGCCCACCAAGGCGACGAUCAGUAGGGGUUCUGAGAGGAAGGUCCCCCACAUUGGAACUGAGACACGGUCCAAACUCCUACGGGAGGCAGCAGUGAGGAAUAUUGGUCAAUGGGCGAGAGUCUGAACCAGCCAAGUAGCGUGCAGGAUGACGGCCCUAUGGGUUGUAAACUGCUUUUAUAAGGGAAUAAAGUGAGUCUCGUGAGACUUUUUGCAUGUACCUUAUGAAUAAGGACCGGCUAAUUCCGUGCCAGCAGCCGCGGUAAUACGGAAGGUCCGGGCGUUAUCCGGAUUUAUUGGGUUUAAAGGGAGCGUAGGCCGGAGAUUAAGCGUGUUGUGAAAUGUAGACGCUCAACGUCUGCACUGCAGCGCGAACUGGUUUCCUUGAGUACGCACAAAGUGGGCGGAAUUCGUGGUGUAGCGGUGAAAUGCUUAGAUAUCACGAAGAACUCCGAUUGCGAAGGCAGCUCACUGGAGCGCAACUGACGCUGAAGCUCGAAAGUGCGGGUAUCGAACAGGAUUAGAUACCCUGGUAGUCCGCACGGUAAACGAUGGAUGCCCGCUGUUGGUCUGAACAGGUCAGCGGCCAAGCGAAAGCAUUAAGCAUCCCACCUGGGGAGUA